Molecule: ribosomal RNA, 506 nt
Filed under: uncultured bacterium
Lineage: Bacteria
Description: partial 16S ribosomal RNA
Rfam family: Bacterial small subunit ribosomal RNA
Source: RNAcentral
AUUGAACGCUAACGGCGUGCUUAACACAUGCAAGUCGAGCGGCAGCACAGUAGUAGCAAUACUAUGGGUGGCGAGCGGCGGACGGGUGAGUAAUACAUAGGAAUCUGCCUUAUAGUGGGGGAUAACCCGGGGAAACUCGGGCUAAUACCGCAUAAUCUCUACGGAGAAAAGUAUGGGACCUUCGUGCCAUAUGCUAAAAGAUGAGCCUAUGUUGGAUUAGCUAGUUGGUAGGGUAAAGGCCUACCAAGGCAACGAUCCAUAGCUGGUCUGAGAGGGUGAUCAGCCACACUGGGACUGAGACACGGCCCAGACUCCUACGGGAGGCAGCAGUGGGGAAUAUUGGACAAUGGGCGCAAGCCUGAUCCAGCAACGCCGUGUGUGUGAAGAAGGCCUUAGGGUUGUAAAGCACUUUUAGUGGGGAAGAAAAGUUCAUGGCUAAUAUCCAUGAAUGCUGACGUUACCCACGGAAAAAGCACUGGCUAACUCUGUGCCAGCAGCCGCAGUAA